GAACUUGGGUGUUCAUUCGUUGUAUUCCAUCCCCUCAUGGUUGCCUUAUUUGACUUAUAUUGCUGAGGAACCCCCGAAGCAUGUGUUGUCGCCCCGAUGAAAUAUUCUUAGACUAGGUCCCUUAUGUUAGUUCUCUUAGGGACGUAAAGUGAGAAUAACGGGAAUGGGUAAUUGGGUUAUUGUUGGUUGGUGGAAAUUAAAUAUAAUUAUUUAUUGUGGGUUGAAAACCCUAUAUGCUCACCAGGCUCCCAAGCCUGACCCACUCAGUUUUAUUUGUAUUACAGGAAGUGGCGCGAGGGCAUGAGAUGGAUGAACCAUCAAGUUGUUUUGUUUACAAGUCUGCAUAUGUUUAUAUUUGUUAUAUGACUUGUAAUGUAUUCGUUUAUGCUUAUUGGUCUGUAUCGGAACAUGACACCCCGAGUUUUGAUUAUAAUGAAAAUACAUUUCUUUUAUGAAAUGCUUCGGUAAACAAUGUUUUAUCAUGUUUUGUUUUUGGGAACAAAUUCCGCAACUCUUUCAAAUCAAAAGGAUUUACUCUGAAAAUAUUUAAAAGCAUAAAUGAAAAUCGGUCUUUUCUGGCCGAGAUUUUGGGGAUGUCACAGUUGGUAUCAGAGCAUUAGUUUAAGCGAACUAGGAAUUUGUAGGAUUUCUAGACUUAAACUUAGAAUGCUAAGUGAAGUUUUGAGAUGUGUGUCUGUUGUGUUUUAGACACGAGCACUAGUUUAUUUUAGGAAAGUUGCCUAAAAUGCUUUAUGUGCUAAAUGUUAUAUGUUGCCAUAUAUGAUAUUAUUUGUUCGGAUCUAUGGUCUGUUGCCGACCGGAUCUAGAAACCUUAUGUGUGUAGGAUUCUAAGCGUACGUCUACGAUAUUAGAACUAGCAUGUAAACGUUUCGGAGUGAUAAGGAUGAUUUGAAUAUCUAUCAUGAUUGAGGAUCUAAUUUCACCUUAUUCGGUGUAGAUCAAAAUGGUGAGAACAAGAAGUGGAGUUGGAAAUGCUGACGAAAACAGGAAUCAACCACCAGUGAUUGAGCCAAUACCUGUCGUAGCAGCAGCACCUGAGCCAAUAACCAUGGCUGGUGUGCAAUUGAUGAUUCAGACGAUGUUGGAUCGUCAGAUGGAUGAAACUAGACGGUUGCUUCAACAAAAUCGUGAAGAACUGUCGAUUCGUGUGGAAGAGCCUGAACUGAAUGAAGGGCACUCGGAAGGUGGAAACUUCAGUGGGUCUGUUGGUCCAGCCAACCCACCGAUAGUUAGGCAAGAUAACCAUGAUGGAAGGAAUGAUGGAAUGGGAUGCAAGUACAAGGACUUUUUGACUUGUAAACCAUCGACCUUCAAUGGAAAGGAGGAUCCGAUUGGGGUUAUGGAUUGGAUCUCCGAAAUGGAGUUAGCCUUUAUGACAUGUGGCUGUAGAGGCAAGUUGCAGACUAUCUAUGCCGUGCGACAAUUCCGAGGUGGAGCCGUUCGUUGGUGGAACACUCUAGGGAAGACCUUAAGCCCUAGCGAGCCACUGCAAUUGUCAUGGGCAGAGUUCUUGGUGCAGUUUAAGCGCAAGUUCUGCUCGGCUCAAAAUCUGUUGGAGUUGGAGAACAAGUUUCUGACAUUGACGAAGGGUAGCAUGUCAGUUGAUGAAUACACCAAUAACUUCACCGAUAAGAUGGAGUUUGCCUUGCGUAUCGUUCCAGACGAGCUGACAAAGGUGGAUCGGUAUGCGAAGGGACUUCCAUGGGAGUACGAGGUGCCGGUACGUCAGGCACUUACUCUAGAGGCAGCUAUCUGGGCUGCCAAGUCUGUGGAGAACAUGAUAAAGGGGAGAACCACCGACAAGGUUGAGGUUGGUGAGAAAAGGAAGUUUGAAGGAACAUCUGGUUCCAGUAAGAAGAGUAAAUUUUCGAAAUUUGAUUCGAAAAAGUUUGGAGGAAAAGGAGGCGAAGCGAAGUGGUGUGAUAAGUGUAGGAAAAAGCACUUUGGGAAAUGUAGCGAGGAUGUAACCUGCUACAAGUGUGGAAAGGUUGGACAUUUUGCCAAUGAAUGUCCGAACAACAAAAGGAUGUGUUUUGGGUGUAAUGAAGAGGGGCAUAUUUUGAAAGACUGUCCGAAGAAGAAGGAGGCAGCUAGGCCCAACAUUCCACCAAAGCCGAAGGCGAGAGCCUUCCAGAUGACACUUGAGGCUGCGAAAGAUGAAGCUGAUGUCGCUUCAGGUACCUUUCUCGUAAACGAAUUACCUGCUCAUAUAUUGUUUGAUUCUGGAGCCAACUACUCCUUUAUUUCGCAUGAGUUUGGUAGAAAGCUAGCUUUGCCUGUUGAUAGACUAAAUAAUGCUUUAUUAGUCGAAGUAGCUAGUGGCAAGUUUGUACCUGUUAGCCAUCGUAUGAAAAACGUCUUGAUCGACCUUAAUGGGAAUAAGUUUCUCGAGGAAUUAUUGCCUAUCGAACUAAAUGGUUUCGACAUCGUCUUGGGAAUGGAUUGGCUUAGCGCCAAUGAUGCCGAAAUUUUGUGCAAGAAGAAGAUAGUUAAAGUAAACCCGCCUGGGAAAGAUUCGUUUAUGGUGUAUGGGGACAAACGCAGAGUGAAUUCUGGAAUCAUUUCUCUAAUGAAAGCCAGAAAGUGUUUGACCAAGGGAUGUACAUCAUAUUUAGCAUUCGUGAUUGAUGCUAAGAAAGAAAAGAAGGUGAUGCAGAGUAUUCCAGUGGUGUGUGAUUAUCCGGAAGUAUUUCCCGAGGAUCUUCCUGGAUUACCACCUGAUAGACAAGUGGAGUUCAGAAUAGACUUGUUACCAGGAACCACGCCAAUAGCAAAAGCACCUUAUCGAUUAGCACCGACGGAGAUGAAGGAGCUAAUGAUGCAACUUCAGGAGUUAUUGGACAAAGGUUUCAUUAGACCUAGUUCAUCGCCCUGGGGAGCUCCGGUGUUAUUUGUAAAGAAGAAAGAUGGAAGUAUGAGAAUGUGCAUCGAUUACAGAGAGCUGAACAAGGCAACAAUAAAGAAUAGAUAUCCGUUGCCGAGGAUUGAUGACCUGUUUGAUCAAUUGCAAGGUUCGAGCUAUUUCUCGAAGAUCGAUCUUAGGUCAGGAUAUCAUCAGCUGAAAGUAAGAGAGCAAGAUAUCGAGAAGACUGCAUUCAGAACUAGAUAUGGACACUACGAGUUCUUGGUUAUGUCGUUUGGACUAACCAAUGCUCCAGCAGCGUUCAUGGAUUUGAUGAAUAGGGUUUGUAAUCCUUUCCUUGAUAAAUCCGUGAUAGUGUUCAUAGACGACAUUCUGAUUUACUCGAAAAGCCAGGAGGAGCAUGGCAGACACUUGCGAGAAGUGUUAGAAGUUUUGAAGAAGGAGAAGCUGUAUGCAAAGUUCUCCAAAUGUGAUUUUUGGAUUCGUGAAGUCCAAUUCUUGGGUCACGUGGUCAACCAAGAAGGGAUAAUGGUUGAUCCAGCGAAGAUCGAAGCUGUGACGAAGUGGGAACAACCGAAAAGUCCCACGGAGAUUCGAAGCUUUUUAGGAUUAGCCGGAUAUUACCGAAGGUUUAUCCAAGGCUUUUCUUCGAUUGCUACUCCAUUAACAGCUUUGACCCACAAAGGAGCUACUUAUGCUUGGAGUGAGAAGCAUAAAGAAGCAUUCGAGAAGUUAAAGAAGAAGCUAUGCGAGGCACCGAUACUUUCUCUACCCGAUGGAGUUGAAGACUUCGCUGUUUAUAGCGAUGCGUCUGGUGUUGGAUUGGGUUGUGUUUUGACCCAAAGAGAAAAGGUGAUAGCAUAUGCGUCUCGACAGCUGAAAGAGCAUGAAAAGAAUUACCCGACUCAUGAUUUGGAGUUGGCAGCGGUAGUUUUCGCUCUGAAAAUAUGGAGGCAUUACCUCUAUGGCACGAAGUGCAAACUUUUCACUGAUCAUAAGAGUCUCCAAUACCUCUUUAAUCAGAAAGAAUUGAAUAUGAGGCAACGACGCUGGCUAGAAUUACUUAAAGACUACGACUGCGAGAUACUUUACCACCCCGGUAAAGCUAAUGUUGUUGCUGAUGCUCUCAGUCGGAAAGUCAAUCUUGAAAGGAAGAGGCCAAGAGCGUUGAGAAUUGAAGUUGUCUCGACCAUUGUGGAAAGUAUAAAGAAAGCUCAAGAGGAAGCUUCUGAGAAAAAUGACCGAAAGGAGGAACGUUUGGGUAAAACGUUGGUGUUUGGUACUAACGGUCAUGGACUGAAGGUAUUCCAAGAUCGUAUUUGGGUACCUAAGUCAGGAGGAAUUAGAGAUCUUCUGAUGGAAGAAGCUCACAAGACCAUGUACUCGAUUCAUCCGGGUAGCACUAAAAUGUAUAGGGACCUGAAACCCUACUACUGGUGGCCGACGAUGAAGCUUGAUGUUGCAAAGUAUGUGGCUGAGUGUGUGACUUGUGCGAGAGUAAAGACACAACAUCAGAAACCGUACGGGAGUUUAGAACCAUUGCAUGUGCCUAUGGGUAAGUGGGAAGACAUUGCUAUGGAUUUUGUCACUAAACUGCCCAGAACAAAGAAUGGUCACGACAUGAUUUGGGUGGUCGUUGAUCGAUUCACUAAGAGUGCGCAUUUCAUAGCGGCCAAGGAGAAAUGGUCUAUGGAAAAGCUUGCGAAUUCUUACGUGAAGGAAAUUGUGAGGCUUCACGGUGUUCCGUUAACGAUUGUAUCGGAUCGUGAUAGCCGUUUCACCUCAAGGUUUUGGAAAAGUCUACAAGAGGAAUUGGGUACCAAGUUGUGUUUAAGUACAGCUUACCAUCCGCAGACUGAUGGUCAGAGUGAAAGAACAAUACAAACACUUGAAGAUAUGCUGAGAGCAUGUACCCUGGAAUUCCUAGGUAACUGGGAUGAACAUUUACCUUUGGUAGAAUUUUCCUACAAUAAUAGUUUCCACUCGAGCAUAAAUAUGGCACCUUAUCAAGCUUUGUACGGACAAAAGUGUUGUACGCCGUCUUGUUGGCUUGAGGCUGGGGAAAAGCAGUUUAUGGAGCCUGAGAUGGUCCAUCAGACUGCUGAGAAGUUGAAAGUGAUCAGGGAAAGAAUGUUAGCAGCUCAAGAUCGUCAAAAGAGUUAUGCUGACAAGAAGCGAAGACCGAUGAAUUUUGAAGUUGGAGAUUCGGUUUUACUUAAAGUAUCGUCGUGGAAGGGACUUAUAAAAUUUGGUAGAAGAGGAAAGUUGAGUCCAAGGUUUAUUGGACCAUUUAAAGUUCUUCAGAGGAUCGGGAAUCAAGCUUACAAGCUAGCAUUACUGGAAGAACUAGAGAGUAUUCAUAACACCUUUCAUGUGUGUUAUUUGAGAAAGUUCACGGGAGGUGUGCCCGACAUAAUUCCUAUUUCUGAAUUNGAAUUGAGAAUUGAUGAAAACAAGCGGUUAAUUGAAGAACCAGAGGCAAUCGUUGACCGAAAGACUAAGAAGUUGCGACGCAAGAUAGUCGAAUUAGUGCUUGUCCGUUGGAAACAUUUGAAUGGGUCAAAUCUCACCUGGGAACGGAGAGUGACAUGUUGAGUCGCUAUCUGCAUUUGUUUGUUGAUGUGUGAUUCUGGGGACGGAAUCAUCCUAAGGGGGAGAGAAUUGUAACGCCCGCGUUUCCAGGCUAGGCAUUAUCAUUGAUGUAAUAGUCUAGGUUCACCCUUGUAACUCUUUUUGGAGUAUUAAUGAUGAUAUAUUUGAGUAUUAUGUGAAUUAUGUGUUUAUUUUCUUAAUUAUUAUAAUUUAAUGAAUUAAGAAUAAAAUAAGCGUCAAANAGUAUAUGUUACAAGGAUUCCGUACAUAUAAAGAACGCCGAAAUCCGAGUUAUAACGAAGAAGUUAUGACCUGUCGAAGUUUCGCGACAGAACCGGCACGACACAGCGCGACGUAAAAAGUGAAUUUACAUUAGAGUGAUAUUUAGCUUUAUCAAUCUAAAUGAAAGUCGUAGAGUUCGUUAAACCAUGAGCGUGCAUAAAAAGAACGCCCAAAUCUGACUUCGUAUGAGGAAGUUAUGAUUUUUCGAAGUUUCGACUUAGCGGUAUGCAGCCCGAAUACUCGAUUUGAGACCGAGCGGUUUUUAGCCGAAACAAUCUAAAUGAGAAUCGAAGAUCUCAUUAAUUGUAGUAAAACGAUAAAAAGAUAGGCGAAAACGGACGUCGGAUGAAGAGGUUAUGAUUUUAUAACGGAGUUUUCCUGUCCCGGCCUACUAAAAAUAAAUAAUAAAAAUAAAGUCAAUAUUAGCCGACGGAGUCUAAACGAAAGUUAUAAAGCGUAGUCUCACCUACGCGGGGAUAUAAAGAACGUCGACGAUAUGAAUUUUUGAAGUUUAUUAAAUAUUUUCGAUAUUUAAUUUAAACAUAUAUUAACUGAUAUUAUCCUUGGGGGAGUCAGCGACCUUAUUGUCAUUACGCCCAGCGUAAUUUCAUAUUACGCCCAGCGUAAUUCGAACUUCCAGCCCCUAUAAAAGGAGAUCGACGGCAACCGAGUUCAUUGCUCAUUUCUUCCCUUUUUCUCGCGUUUUUGCAUCGUUUUUCGUGCAAGAAUUAUCCCGAAGCCCCGGUAUCAUUCCCGAGCCCCGAAGCAAGUCCCGAGGUCCCGAUGAUCCCGAGAAGUAAGAUUCCUGAACCGAAGCUCUGACCGCGAGGAGUCCGGUUUUUGUGAAGAUCUUCCAGAUCUGCCGAAGAAUACUACUUCUACAAGUCGUAGUGCUGUCCGAUCAUCUUCUGAUCAAGUGAGUGUGUAGUUACUUUCUUCUAACGCAUAAUUAUGAAGUAUUUUAUAUAAAAUACGUGUUAUGUGUAUAUUUUGUUGUUAUGUGUGUGAAUGUAUAUUCACUUUCUUCUAUCUUAUAGAUCUGAUUAUUUCUCUAUGAAAUACGUGUUAUGUGUGUGUGCCUCAUCUGUUAUGUGGAAAAUGUAUUGAUUGAGCAUGCUAUACAGGUUUUAAAACUAUGUAUAAAAAUGUAUAUUUUAUCUACUAAUAUGUUGGGUAGAACAUGGGUAGAUAGUUGGUGUGUAAUAAACAGAUGAGAGGCCUCGAUGUUGUUUUGAUCUAGUCAUCUAGCGGAAUUUAGAUGACGACCACGGACUUUUCUAGAUAGUCCAGUGGAACGCUAGCAGGCUCAUAACCUGUAGGUGUUAAUGAACUUGGGUGUUCAUUCGUUGUAUUCCAUCCCCCUCAUGGUUGCCUUAUUUGACUUAUAUUGCUGAGGAACCCCCGAAGCAUGUGUUGUCGCCCCGAUGAAAUAUUCUUAGACUAGGUCCCUUAUGUUAGUUGUCUUAGGGACGUAAAGUGAGAAUAACGGGAAUGGGUAAUUGGGUUAUUGUUGGUUGGUGGAAAUUAAAUAUAAUUAUUUAUUGUGGGUUAAAAACCCU
RNAcentral lists this long non-coding RNA (7317 nucleotides) under Lactuca sativa (garden lettuce). RNAcentral describes it as "long non-coding RNA (LSAT_LNC009750)". The record is from RNAcentral. Lineage: Eukaryota; Viridiplantae; Streptophyta; Magnoliopsida; Asterales; Asteraceae.